Molecule: long non-coding RNA, 3506 nt
Organism: Sinocyclocheilus grahami
Lineage: Eukaryota; Metazoa; Chordata; Actinopteri; Cypriniformes; Cyprinidae
Source: Ensembl
GCAGGACUCCCUAAUCAGAUCAUGCUUCAUCCUAAUUAACUCAUCCUGAUUAAUAGGUCUAAUUACUUGGGUGUGGUUUCCUCUGGGUUCACGACACACUCUUGGCAUAAACUUGAGGAAAAUUUUGGAUUCACUUUUUUUUGUUUUGUGAAAGCUUUUCCUUUGGUGUAGAAAACUUCAAGGUAAGCACUAUGAAAAAAUAAAGCCACAUACUCAGUUUAAUUUGGAGUUAUAAUAAUUUAAGGAACCCAUUUUAGUUACUACCAUCUGUCUUUUUGAUGUUUUAAUUACCGUCUGUCUUUAGUUGCCAAGAAAUUUGUCCAAAAUGAGAAUCCGCUUCCGUUCAAAAACAAAUGUUCUUUUUGGUUGACUGUAAUUUGAAAACUUUUCUCGCCAAGUAACCAAAACCUUCUUUUGGGCUUGUUCUGCACAAGAUAUGGCUGCUAUAGUAACCCAAGAUCCCACUGGCGGUAUUGCAAGUGUACUCCAUAGACCACGGCAUGCACAAGUCCCUCAGCACCCUGGUCCUCUGCCCUCCAGAAUAUUACACCCAGAAGAGCAUCUCCAGCUAAACCAGCCCUUUUACGUUCCCACUGUCCAGCCGUUCUUCCCAUAUCAAUGGUCCAUGUCAACUCCAUAUGUGCCCUAUGGUGGCUUUCAUGGAUUAGGUUAUGGCACGAUGAUGCCGCCAUCAUUACUACCUCUCCAGUGUUUAGAAGUUCCUGGAUACAUGAUUCCUCAAACUCAACUGCACAUGAUGGACUACAGACGUAUGACUCCCCAUGUGGCUCCAACUAUUGCUCAUCAGACCCGCCACUCACAUUUUCAAAACGGUGUGCCCCCUGGUCGUGUGAUGGUCAGCUCUGAGGUGCAAACUGAACCCCUUUGUCGUAGCAUAGACUCACAUGAACGUGCAAUAUCCCACAAUUGUUCUGAAUCAGGUAGGGGUACUGACAGUCCAGUGUCAACAUCACCCAGCACCUUGGAUAACAAAUCAGUAACUUGCCCUGAAGGUACAUCCAUGCUAACUCAAAAUUACAAUGCCACUAAUGCGAUCAGCACUACUGAUUUGUCUGCUGUUCCCAAGAGUGAAAUCCUUCAAGCUGAACAUAUGCAAAUUAAAUGCGACGCAAUGCUUUCUGGGCGUAAGAAUUUUCAGAACAAGGAUAACAUGGAGCUAGCUAGUCAUAAUGAAACUGACCUUUUGCAGUGCAGCUUGGGUUCUGUACAAUCUUCAGGGGAUGUUGUCUUGUGCGCUUACCAGUCAUUAGCAUUUAGGAAGGAUGAACAGCGGGUUGAAGCUGAGAUGUUAAGGUACUCAAAGCAUCGUCUCCCUGCUUGUACAGAAGUUACUGUGUUGAGAACUUCUCCAUCUUGUAGAACUUUGAAAGCUUAUCCUAAACCAAUCAGAUCUGUCAUUAACCAAGGCAUCAAAGCAAAGAAAAACUCAGACAUGCCUUUUCAGGCAAAGAGCAGAGAAGAUGGCAACACCUCCAAUAACAUUGACUUUAAGAUUCUGCGGCUGCCAUUUGACAUGGAGAACCAUAACCAGCCUUGUCAGCUGGAGGCUUCUAUCUGGUCAGUAGAGUCUCUGAUACCUUAUGUACCUUCCACUGAGUGGAUGACCGAUAAUGGUCUUCUAACUCCUCCGAAACCGUUGAGCCCACUGAAUGAGCACAGUGAUGUUAUCGCAAAGCCAAAUUAUGUUCCUGAAGGGAAGAAUCUACAACCUGGUGCAUCAGUUAAAUAUCAUGGUCGUCCAUGUCAGCUAGAGGCCUCUAUCUGGUCAGUAGAAUCUUUGAUGCCUUAUGUGCCUUCCAGUGAGUGGAUGGUUGAGAAUGGGUGUUUAACUCCUCAGAAGCCGCUGAGCCCACAGAUUAAAUCUAGUGAUCUUCUGUCUAAGCAGAAUCAGUCUUCCACUGGUAUUCCAGCAGAGAAGAAUCUACAAACUGGUGCAUCAACUAAACAUGAGUCCUUUAACUCCCUUGUGUCCCGCUCCCCAUACCGUCCCUCAACAAGCUGGCUGGCUGACUUUGGUAAUGUAUACUACUACAGUAAGUUACCUGUUGUACAGCAACAUCCUGACCUUCCAGAGAAGCAGCAACCAAAGAUGUCCCUUGCCAUUAGUCUUGAACCACCUCCUCUCAGAAAUGGGAAAAACACAAAGAACCAAAGUCCAGCAAUUGGCAUCUCAGAUCAGAAGCACUGUUCACUUCAUACUUGCAAGUGCAAAGCAAAACGCAGUCUGAGGUUAGCUGGAUCUUCUGUGACGUGUGAUUGGGUUUCUCAUUCCACACUGCAGAAUAAACUUCGCUUCUGCACAUCAUGUAGAUAUGUGAAAGGAAAGGAUCAUAGAAAGCCGCCUUUUUCAGAUGGUUUUAGCUGUAAAAGAGAAGAGACUACUGACUUGAAUAACUUUUACAUGAAGAGGGCUACUGAGGGGUUCCAUGGUACCCCAAAGAUGACUUCAGGAAGUCAUUUGUCAAAAUGCUGUGCUGCUUCUCUGGCUAAACCAAGUGAAAAGACUGGACUGUGUGAAGAUUGCCAAUGCCUUAAUCCCAGCCCUGCUCAAGAUAAAUGUGGUGACAUUGGAUGGCGAAUUUGGGAAAAGAGUGAGGAAGACUGGAUUAACAACCCAAAUCAGAGAAUGUUACAGACACUGCAGAAAAGUAGGGCUUCCAAUAUAACAUUGCCAAAAUUCUCGAAAUUGUGUAUGUACUCUGUUGUUACAUGUAUCUUCUUCUGGUAGACAAUCCAUGGAAAGCAAGUAUGCAGGGGUCUAAAACUGAAAGAAGGAUUCAGAAAAAAGAAAGGAAAGCGUACUCACAAGGUAAGAUAAUACAUUUUCUCAAAAGAAUGCUUCAUAUUAGGCCAAUUGUGAUGCCUGAUCAUUGACAAAUGAACUUUACAGGGAUACAGCAAAAAUAAAUGAACCGUACUUGCAUGUUAUAUUCUUAGCAAAACCUAUUUACCUUGUAUCUCUUCAGAGAUCACACAAGAGGAAGACACAAUGUUUAUUGCUACCGGUGGUCAGUGUGCACACCCCAUGGAGAGCUAGAAGGUGCAUUAAUAUCACAAACGUUCAAACCUUCCUACAAUCAAAUAUACACCUGUAUGGUUUUUAAGCAGUGAUUUAAUAAAGUACUUAUGAGUGUGAACAUGAUGUUUGCUUCAUCACCGAAGCCUCAGAAGGUCCAUUUGAAGUUCUCAAUUAUAUUUUUAAUAAAUACUGCAAACAACUAUGCAUUUAAGACCGUGUGACGCAAACUGCUUGAGCACAUUAGAUUCGCCUAAUGAUAUGAUAAGAGUGUUGUAUCUUUUGCUUUGAGAUCUAAAUAAGUAAAUUUUUGAUUUCUAAACAUUUAUUUUUCAAAUUGCACAACAAAAGGCUAGAUCCACAUAGAGAUCUGUGGCUGGUUGCAUUAAAAGGCUUCAACUAGUCUUGGAAGUCAUCCAAUUUGUUUCAAGACUGGUCAUAAUGUUAAGUCAGUUACAUAAAAAAAAUU